GUGGGGAAUAUUGGACAAUGGGCGAAAGCCUGAUCCAGCCAUGCCGCGUGUGUGAAGAAGGUCUUCGGAUUGUAAAGCACUUUAAGUUGGGAGGAAGGGCAUUAACCUAAUACGUUAGUGUUUUGACGUUACCGACAGAAUAAGCACCGGCUAACUUCGUGCCAGCAGCCGCGGUAAUACGAAGGGUGCAAGCGUUAAUCGGAAUUACUGGGCGUAAAGCGCGCGUAGGUGGUUCGUUAAGUUGGAUGUGAAAGCCCCGGGCUCAACCUGGGAACUGCUUUCAAAACUGCUGAGCUAGAGUACGGUAGAGGGUGGUGGAAUUUCCUGUGUAGCGGUGAAAUGCGUAGAUAUAGGAAGGAACACCAGUGGCGAAGGCGACCACCUGGACUGAUACUGACACUGAGGUGCGAAAGCGUGGGGAGCAAACAGGAUUAGAUACCCUAGUAGUCC
This 450-nucleotide ribosomal RNA is filed under the name uncultured bacterium. RNAcentral describes it as "partial 16S ribosomal RNA". It matches the Rfam family "Bacterial small subunit ribosomal RNA", at positions 354 to 796 of the family's 1533-position model. The record is from RNAcentral.